GAAUUUGAUAUAUAUUUGUAUUAGAAGGUUAGAAUAAUUUUAAAUAUAUAAUAUAUAUUUUAUUGGGAGGAUAAUUAAAUAUUUGUAACUUUAAUUAGAUUAAAAUAUAAAUUGAUGAAAUUUGGAUUGGUUAGUAAAUUAAUGAAGAAUUAAUUACCUUAGGGAUAACAGCGUGAUAUUCUUGGAGAGUUCAUAUUAAUAAGAGUGAUUGC
RNAcentral lists this ribosomal RNA (212 nucleotides) under Solenopsis sp. 28 GR-2021. Its description in RNAcentral is "partial large subunit ribosomal RNA". Lineage: Eukaryota; Metazoa; Arthropoda; Insecta; Hymenoptera; Formicidae. The record is from RNAcentral.